This 207-nucleotide ribosomal RNA is filed under the name uncultured bacterium. Its description in RNAcentral is "partial 16S ribosomal RNA". It matches the Rfam family "Bacterial small subunit ribosomal RNA", at positions 568 to 774 of the family's 1533-position model. The record is from RNAcentral.
CGUGUAGGCGGCCGAUUAAGCCAGGUGUAAAAUGUUACAGCUCAACUGUAAACCCGCAUCUGGAACUGGUCGGCUAGAGGACGAGAGAGGAAAGUGGAAUUCCUAGUGUAGCGGUGGAAUGCGUAGAUAUUAGGAGGAACACCAGUGGCGAAGGCGGCUUUCUGGCUCGUACCUGACGCUGAGGCGCGAAAGCGUGGGGAGCAAACA